AAUUUUUAAUAAAAUUUUAUCUUAAUAAAAAGUGAAAUUAGAUUAUUAAAUGUAAAAUUUUAUUUAAUUUUAAUAUAAUGAAGCUUAAAAAAUUGAGGUAUGAAUUAGGAUUAGAUACCCUAGUACACUUUAAAUUAAUUGUAAAAAGACUAGAAUACUAAAAGUUAUAUUCUUUAAAUUUAAAAAAUUUGGCGGUAUUUUAGUCUAGUUAGAGGAACCUGUUUUUUAAACGACAACACACGCAUUAUCUUACUUAUUCUAGUAAUCAGUUUGUAUACCGUCAUUAUAAGAUAAUUUAAGAGAAAAUAUUAUUAAGAUCAUAUUAUGUGAGUAUAUUAGAUCAAGGUGCAGCUAAUGAAUAAGAAAAAAUGGGUUACAAUAAAAAUUAUUUAUACGGAUUUAAUAUUUAAAUAUAUUAAUGAAGGAGGAUUUAAUUGUAAAAUAAAAUUAAUAGGUUUU
RNAcentral lists this ribosomal RNA (459 nucleotides) under Pontastacus leptodactylus (narrow-clawed crayfish). RNAcentral describes it as "Astacus leptodactylus (narrow-clawed crayfish) partial small subunit ribosomal RNA". The record is from RNAcentral. Lineage: Eukaryota; Metazoa; Arthropoda; Malacostraca; Decapoda; Astacidae.